This 82-nucleotide transfer RNA is filed under the name Myxococcota bacterium. RNAcentral describes it as "tRNA-Leu". It matches the Rfam family "tRNA". From Rfam's summary of the family: Transfer RNA (tRNA) molecules are approximately 80 nucleotides in length. Their secondary structure includes four short double-helical elements and three loops (D, anti-codon, and T loops). Further hydrogen bonds mediate the characteristic L-shaped molecular structure. tRNAs have two regions of fundamental functional importance: the anti-codon, which is responsible for specific mRNA codon recognition, and the 3' end, to which the tRNAs corresponding amino acid is attached (by aminoacyl-tRNA synthetases). tRNAs cope with the degeneracy of the genetic code in two manners: having more than one tRNA (with a specific anti-codon) for a particular amino acid; and 'wobble' base-pairing, i.e. permitting non-standard base-pairing at the 3rd anti-codon position. The record is from RNAcentral. Lineage: Bacteria; Pseudomonadati; Myxococcota.
GCACGAGUGGCGGAACUGGCAGACGCGCCGGAUUUAGGUUCCGGUACCGAAAGGUGUGGGGGUUCAAGUCCCUCCUCGUGCA